UGGGGAAUUUUCCGCAAUGGGCGAAAGCCUGACGGAGCAAUACCGCGUGAGGGAGGAAUGCCUUUGGGUUGUAAACCUCUUUUCUCAGGGAAGAAGAUCUGACGGUACCUGAGGAAUAAGUAUCGGCUAACUCCGUGCCAGCAGCCGCGGUAAUACGGAGGAUGCAAGCGUUAUCCGGAAUCAUUGGGCGUAAAGCGUCCGCAGGUGGUUUCCAAAGUCUGCUGUUAAAGACUGGAGCUCAACUCCGGAACGGCGGUGGAAACUUGGAAACUAGAGUUCGGUAGGGGUAGCAGGAAUUCCCAGUGUAGCGGUGAAAUGCGUAGAUAUUGGGAAGAACAUCGGUGGCGAAGGCGUGCUACUGGACCGUAACUGACACUCAGGGACGAAAGCUAGGGGAGCGAAAGGGAUUAGAUACCCCUGUAGUCCUAGCUGUAAACGAUGGAAACUAGGUGUGGCU
RNAcentral lists this ribosomal RNA (457 nucleotides) under uncultured marine microorganism. RNAcentral describes it as "bacterial SSU rRNA". It matches the Rfam family "Bacterial small subunit ribosomal RNA", at positions 355 to 827 of the family's 1533-position model. The record is from RNAcentral.